Molecule: ribosomal RNA, 236 nt
Filed under: uncultured bacterium
Lineage: Bacteria
Description: partial 16S ribosomal RNA
Rfam family: Bacterial small subunit ribosomal RNA
Source: RNAcentral
UGAGCAAUCUGCCCUUCUCAUCGGAAUAAGCGUUGGAAACGACGUCUAAUGCCGAAUACGACCUCCUUUCGCAUGAUCGGAGGUGGAAAGCUCCGGCGGAGAAGGAUGAGCUCGCGGCCUAUCAGCUAGUUGGUGUGGUAAUGGCCCACCAAGGCGACGACGGGUAGCCGGCCUGGAGAGGGUGACCCGGCCACACGUGGGACUGAGACACCGGCCCAGACCUCCGUACGGGAGCA